This 661-nucleotide long non-coding RNA is filed under the name Mytilus galloprovincialis (Mediterranean mussel). Lineage: Eukaryota; Metazoa; Mollusca; Bivalvia; Mytilida; Mytilidae. The record is from RNAcentral.
GGAGAGUUCAUUGAAUUGCUGCUUUGAUAAUCCAGUUAGAUUGUAAUAGUCACCAUCAGAUAAUGAUAAUGGAUUGUCAAAAUUCAGGAUAUGAGAGGUUGCCAAGGUUUUUCUCACAUUUUCUAAUAAUGAAGUUAUAUCAGAACGAUUCAUAUAUGUUGUAGUGUAUUUUGCAGUUAAUGCUUGAAGUGAUGUGUCGUCGAAAAGUUGUUCAGAUAAAUGAUGUUUGCAACAGCGUGUAUUUCCAUCUAUAAAAACGGCAUUUUUUAUAAAGGCUUGGGUUCUUGCCUGUAAAGGAACUUUGCAUAACUUAUUUCUACUGGUACCUUCCUUCUUGCAUACAAUGCAGAAUCUAUGUGAUGUGUGAGUGGAAGAAAUAUUCAGUUCAAUUUGUUUCGGACUUAGUAUUUUCGUGGAUACGGCUUCUUCUGUAUUUAUAACAAACUCAGAGUCACUGUCAUCUGUAAUACACUCGGAAAGACAGUUUGAAACUUUCUGUUCAUUGUUUACUUUUUUUAGUGUUUUCCUGUAUAUUGAUCUACACUUCUCACAUAUCACAUCAUUUUCUUCAAGGUUUCGCUCAAUUCUUUUUCUUACAAACUGUUUCAGUGCUUUAGUUGUUAUCUUACGUCUGGAUUUUAGAUGACAUCUACCACAAACC